Molecule: long non-coding RNA, 4205 nt
Organism: Motacilla alba alba
Lineage: Eukaryota; Metazoa; Chordata; Aves; Passeriformes; Motacillidae
Exons: 2
Source: RefSeq, a predicted model, not a curated record
UUAAGGAAGCUAUGGUGGAGAGAUUUAACCUGAUUAGUUCAUUCUUCUAGAAUCAAACUAUUUCACUGAGGCAACGUAACUUCUGGGAUAAAGGGCAAAUCUCAUACAAGUACCAUACAACUCAUAUUACUUCAAAUGUGGUAUUUACCGUUAAAAUAAUGCACAUGCAAAAUAUGCAGUUUUGUCUGUUACUAAGAAACUAACAAAUGUACUUAGACACUUUGGAAAAAUAAUGAGAAAAAAUGUAACGUAAAUUAAGUUGAAAAUGGAAGAGUUUAAAACAAUGAUUUUACUGUCUUCUGCUUUCUCUAUAGGAGAUUUUUCACCACUGAAUUUCAAACAAUGCCUUGUAACUCCUACAAUAUGCUGUUCUGGAAAACGAUUAAGGUUCUCCAGUUACAUUCCUAUUGUUCAAACUUAAUCUAGUUAAUUGCAUAUUUAUUUUUCAAAAACAUACACAAAAGUACAUUUUCGUGCAUUUGAAUUCUGACUUGCUUGGCAUUGCAAGUAUUUUUUACAAAACAAGUUUUCAGAUAUAUUUAAGAUACAGUUGCAUUCACAGCAAGAAGCUAUGCUACACCAAUGAAAACACAUUGCAUUGGUAGCCUUCACAGAUCAAAGUGACUGAAUAAAAUUAUUUGAAAUUCAGCUCCUUCAAGAGAUUAUUAAAAUUGCAUGCUUUUCUUUUCUUUUUUUUUUUUUUUUUUUGUCUGGAGAGACUGGGAGGAGAAGACUUUACAGAGUUCUCCCCCCUUUCAGAUUGGGCAGGAAAAAAUUGCCUUUCUGAUUUAAGCAGGAGAAAUACUGUGUUGAUGCUCCCUAUGAAAUCAGAACAGCAUUAUUUUUAAGUGUUUUCAUUAAUUACAUGGUAACCUGCAUUCUUUGGGUGGUGAAUAAAAGAGGAAAAGCAUUUAUUUCCCACAGAAACAAUUGCCUGUCAAACAAAGCAUAAAAAGACAAAAGGCAGAAACACUGUUUCAGCUUGAAUGCCUUAAUGUCACCAUUUGUCAUGCAGCACUUCCUCAGAAAACCCCCAAGUACAGUUAACUCUGCUCCUCUUUACACCGUGCACUUUCUCCAUUGGUACAGGAUUAAAAUGUGCCCGGCCUGACGAUGAAACAGCAGAGCCAUCGCACAUUGUUAUGCAACUCACUGUCUGCAAGGGUGGCUCGUAGCUCCUUCUUUAUUCAGCAAGUGCCAAGUGCAUGUUUAAUCAAUGUCACAGCUCACCACAGUGUGCAACUAAAGCCACUGUCAUUCCUCUCUUCAGAUUUGCCUGGCUGAGUUAUGCAAUGCUCCGAAGAAUACCUUGCAAUUCUUUCCAGAGGCUCUGAAUGCAGGUGGGUGACAGCGUUCCAACUACUGCCAGCAAAGCAGACCUCUUUCCAUCCUUUUUCAGGCUGGACUAAAAUUACAUAGUGUGACUGCACGUAGUCCACUGCAUUUGGAAUUACAGCAUGUCAACGUGAGAAAGCCUCUUCAGACUGCUGCCACAAAGAGUAAAUCAAAGGCUGGGUGUUUCUGAAGUCUUAAUAAAUAACUAAGUAUAACUGAAUAAAACCAGGAGCUGUUUGUAUUUUUUUUAAGACAAAACAGAACAGCAUGCAUUUUGUGGCUCUGCAUCAGCUAAGGGGAAAAAAAAGCCUCAAUUUUAAUGAGAAUUAGUCAACAGUGAGGAUCAUUAUGAGAAAAAGCUUUACUGUUUUUUCAACUACACUUGCUUUAGUGGAUUACUGAGAAAAACACCAGUCAUUUGGAAGACUCUGCAACAUUAUUAUCUUCACUGAUAAACUUCUUCAUCAAGAAACUGUACGUGCUCCUAUCUGGUCUGUCUGAGAGAGGAGAGCAGCCUCUUCAUGAAGAUAAAAGCCUGGCUUGCCACUGAAUCGACGAGUAAGAAGCAUGUCUGAUGACAUUUUAUUCCUGAUGCAAUGUAGGCUAGCUGCCAGAAUACUGGUGAAGGUAUUUGCAGGAAAAAUGGGGACCUCUGCCAUCACAACACUAGAAGAUGUAAAAAGGCAAGAGGAGAAAGAGGAAAAAGAAGAAUCUAUUUUAGCACUGCUUGGGAUUAUUGGAACUGUGCUCAAUUUAUUUGUUAUUGUUUUUGUGUACAUCUACACUACACUUUGAUGACAUUUUUGAAAAUCAAUUGUACAGCACAAUGUGCAAAGACCUGCAAUGGUAAGGAUGAUUUCUAAAUUUACAGCAAAAAACCCCACCACUCUCUGAAAACAGUAUCAAAAACAUUCCAGAGUGCAGUGUCUGGGUAAGGGUGCUGCACCAAUGACUGCAAAGUGUACCUAUGAGCCCAGCUAGGGUGCUAAAUUACGUAAAUGAAGGCAGACCAAAUACAACAUUUCGUUGGUAACAGAUGAAAUCUGAAUAGCAGGAUCAGAGAAGGCACUGUUUUAUUGCCAGCAAACAUGCAAGACAGAAACGUAGCCAAACACUGAAAAUAAUCAGAACAUAGAAAGAGAUAAACUAAAUCUAUGAGCAACCAUAAGCAAGUCCCAUGCUUUCUAUGGUUUUGUGCAGUAUGUCUCUUGAUAGCUGAGACCAGAAAACAGGCAAAAGGGGUUUUUUAUUUUUAGGCCACCAUAAUUUAGGCUUAUAACUUACACUAAUGUAUAAUAAGUGUGGAAACAGGAAUGCUGUUAUACUAGAAGUUGUUAUAUUAUAAAUAAAAUUUUAAUUAUUGACUAUAUUCUGCAGCAUUUUUGUUAGUCUUGUGGAAAGCCGAAAAAGGUUAGAUUUUCUGGCCUUUACUAAAUCUGUAUUUGAAAUCAUCAUGCUCUAUUGACAAUGUGCUUUUCUAAUUAAAAAUACUUUAAAGUGGUGUGAAAAAAUAAAGAAUAAUUUUAGUACUUCUUUUAAGGCAUAUUAAUAAUUCCAAUGACACACUAAUACAUAUUCUCUAAAUGAAAAAAAAAAAUCUUAAAUUACAUUUUCUAUAUCACCAUUUUUAGAAUGUGUUUAACAGAAAUCAAAUAUAAUUCUCAUGUUUUCACCCUGAUGCUUAUUUUCAAGUAAAACAUAUCAUGCAAGGAUUCACAGUGUGGCAUGGAAAACAGGUUUAGCCUUUGUCCAGAGGACUGUACUCUCUCUUUCUGGACCAAGUUCUGAGGAAAUUUUCCCUUUUUGCACUGUCUAUGAUUGAGGCGCAGAAUUGCAACUCUUAAGCAUACUUCACAGAACAUAUCAUUUGGCUACUGAAAUUAGUGAAACUAAUUCCAUAUAUUUAAUUAAAUCUAUAUAUGCCUUUAAACUAGAUCCAAAGCUGCAGACAGGCUGAGACCACAGAAGUUUUUGUAUACAUGAAUGUAUCUCACAUGUACCUUAUAAUGAAAAUUACUUUUGAGAACUUAGCAUUAAAAACUCAUUAAACAAAUUACAUGAAAAAGGUAAAAAUAAACUGAUUUUAAUAAAUACUUUUCUUACUAUUACCUGUGCCACAGAGGAACAACAGAGCAACUGCAUUUCUGAAUAUCAGCUCAAUUUCUUCUAGGCUACAAAACUACAUCCAGUCCCUCCAUAAAAUGACAUGUGAAGAAAUACAUCCCUUAUAUAGGUGAUAGCUUGUUAGUGUAUAGAGUUUGGUAACUGCUAAACCAACUGAGCCUUUGGAAGUCACUUUAAGGUCAGGGACCUAGAAGAGAAUGAAUUUGGCAAUGAUAUUUCAGUCAGUUGCACACUGUAACACUGACUUAUGGACAAAUGAGGUGGAAGAUGGUAUAUUCUGGUUUUGCAACUCUGAGUCAAUACUGGCUCAACUAGAAGAAAUGGUAAACAGAGCUGAGGCUGCACUGGAAGGAAGCACAUGCAGACAAGGAAAUUUAUUCACCAGCCACAGUCUUCAGCAAGUCUCUAUUAAAUGUAAACUUAUUUUCAGUAUAUGAAGCACCAAAGCAUUCUGUAAAACUAAGCUGCAUUCUAGAGGAAUUAUACAGGUUACUAAAGUUUAUUUAAGACUACAGAACAGAUAUUACCAUUAUUAUUUUUUCAAUGUACUUCUUAUAUCUACAUACUUAUGGAUAUUAUUGCAUUUAAUCUCAUAAUACCAGGAUAUUUGAGAUGGAUCUCUGAAAUGAAAUAUUACAAGAACCUGAAAAGUGAAAUUCAGGUAGAAAUUGCUGCUGUUUAUUUUGAUCCUGAAGUUAUUUAAAACUUGUCAAUUCUGUGAAAUAAAUAAAGAGUUUUAUUUCGUA